AAAGCGUGGGUAGCGAACAGGAUUAGAUACCCUGGUAGUCCACGCCGUAAACGAUGAGUGCUAGGUGUUAGGCCCUUUCCGGGGCUUNAGUGCCGGAGCUGACGCAAUAAGCACUCCGCCUGGGGAGUACGACCGCAAGGUUGAAACUCAAAGGAAUUGACGGGGGCCCGCACAAGCGGUGGAGCAUGUGGUUUAAUUCGAAGCAACGCGAAGAACCUUACCAGGUCUUGACAUCCCGAUGCUAUUCUUAGAGAUAGGAAGUUACUUCGGUACAUCGGAGACAGGUGGUGCAUGGUUGUCGUCAGCUCGUGUCAUGAGAUGUUGGGUUAGGUCCCGCAACGAGCGCAACCCUUAUUGUUAGUUGCCAUCAUUAAGUUGGGCACUCUAGCGAGACUGCCGGUAAUAAACCGGAGGAAGGUGGGGAUGACGUCAAAUCAUCAUGCCCCUUAUGACCUGGGCUACACACGUGCUACAAUGGUCGGUACAACGAGUUGCGAGCCGGUGACGGCAAGCUAAUCCCUGAAAGCCGAUCUCAGUUCGGAUUGGAGGCUGCAACUCGCCUCCAUGAAGUCGGAAUCGCUAGUAAUCGCGGAUCAGCACGCCGCGGUGAAUACGUUCCCGGGCCUUGUACACACCGCCCGUCACACCACGAGAGUUUGUAACACCCGA
Molecule: ribosomal RNA, 669 nt
Filed under: uncultured bacterium
Lineage: Bacteria
Description: bacterial SSU rRNA
Rfam family: Bacterial small subunit ribosomal RNA
Source: RNAcentral